CAGCCGCCGCGGUAAUACGAAGGAUGCAAGCGUUAAUCGGAAUUACUGGGCGUAAAGCGUGCGUAGGCGGUGAGUUAAGUCUGCUGUGAAAUCCCCGGGCUCAACCUGGGAAUGGCAGUGGAUACUGGCUCGCUAGAGUGUGUCAGAGGAUGGUGGAAUUCCCGGUGUAGCGGUGAAAUGCGUAGAGAUCGGGAGAAACAUCGGUGGCGAAGGCGGCCAUCUGGGACAACACUGACGCUGAGGCACGAAAGCGUGGGGAGCAAACAGGAUUAGAUACCCGCGUAGUCCCUGUCUCUUAUAC
Molecule: ribosomal RNA, 301 nt
Filed under: uncultured bacterium
Lineage: Bacteria
Description: partial 16S ribosomal RNA
Rfam family: Bacterial small subunit ribosomal RNA
Source: RNAcentral